This 463-nucleotide ribosomal RNA is filed under the name Vreelandella stevensii. RNAcentral describes it as "partial 16S ribosomal RNA". It matches the Rfam family "Bacterial small subunit ribosomal RNA", at positions 338 to 795 of the family's 1533-position model. The record is from RNAcentral. Lineage: Bacteria; Pseudomonadati; Pseudomonadota; Gammaproteobacteria; Oceanospirillales; Halomonadaceae.
CCUACGGGGCUGCAGUGGGGAAUAUUGGACAAUGGGCGAAAGCCUGAUCCAGCCAUGCCGCGUGUGUGAAGAAGGCCUUCGGGUUGUAAAGCACUUUCAGUGGGGAAGAAAGCCUUGGGGCUAAUACCCUCGAGGAAGGACAUCACCCACAGAAGAAGCACCGGCUAACUCCGUGCCAGCAGCCGCGGUAAUACGGAGGGUGCGAGCGUUAAUCGGAAUUACUGGGCGUAAAGCGCGCGUAGGCGGUCUGAUAAGCCGGUUGUGAAAGCCCCGGGCUCAACCUGGGAACGGCAUCCGGAACUGUCAGGCUAGAGUGCAGGAGAGGAAGGUAGAAUUCCCGGUGUAGCGGUGAAAUGCGUAGAGAUCGGGAGGAAUACCAGUGGCGAAGGCGGCCUUCUGGACUGACACUGACGCUGAGGUGCGAAAGCGUGGGUAGCAAACAGGAUUAGAUACCCGGGUAGUC